CAAUGAAGUGCCUGAUUAAAGGGCUAUUUUGAUAGAAUAGAAUAUGUAUUUUUUAAUACCUUCAUU
RNAcentral lists this transfer RNA (66 nucleotides) under Erotylinae sp. 2 ACP-2013. RNAcentral describes it as "tRNA-Ile". The record is from RNAcentral. Lineage: Eukaryota; Metazoa; Arthropoda; Insecta; Coleoptera; Erotylidae.